UGGCGGCGCGCUUAAUAACAUGCAAGUCGAACGAGAAGCCAGAGCUUGCUCUGGUGGAAAGUGGCGAACGGGUGAGUAACACGUGAGAAACCUGCCCCAAAGAUUGGGAUAAGCCUUGGAAACGAGGUCUAAUACCAAAUACCUUCUUUUUAACACAUGUUAAAAAGAAGAAAUGCUCGGCGCUUUGGGAUGGUCUCGCGAUCUAUCAGCUUGUUGGUGAGGUAACGGCUCACCAAGGCAUCGACGGAUAGCUGGUCUGAGAGGAUGUCCAGCCACAUUGGAACUGAGACACGGUCCAAACUCCUACGGGAGGCAGCAGUAGGGAAUCUUGCACAAUGAGGGAAACCUUGAUGCAGCGACGCCGCGUGCGGGACGAAGGCCCUAGGGUUGUAAACCGCUUUCAGUAGGGACGAAAGUGACGGUACCUACAGAAGAAGCCCCGGCCAACUAUGUG
RNAcentral lists this ribosomal RNA (454 nucleotides) under uncultured bacterium. RNAcentral's name for it is "bacterial SSU rRNA". It matches the Rfam family "Bacterial small subunit ribosomal RNA", at positions 37 to 507 of the family's 1533-position model. The record is from RNAcentral.